AUACGGAGGGGGCCAGCGUUGUUCGGAAUUACUGGGCGUAAAGGGCGCGUAGGCGGGACGUCAAGUCAGGGGUGAAAGGCCUGGGCUCAACCUGGGAACUGCCUUUGAAACUGACGUUCUUGAGUCCGGGAGAGGAUGGCGGAAUUCCCAGUGUAGAGGUGAAAUUCGUAGAUAUUGGGAAGAACACCGGUGGCGAAGGCGGCCAUCUGGACCGGCACUGACGCUGAGGCGCGAAAGCGUGGGGAGCAAACAGGAUUAGAUACCCCGGUAGUCC
RNAcentral lists this ribosomal RNA (274 nucleotides) under uncultured bacterium. RNAcentral's name for it is "partial 16S ribosomal RNA". It matches the Rfam family "Bacterial small subunit ribosomal RNA", at positions 523 to 796 of the family's 1533-position model. The record is from RNAcentral.